RNAcentral lists this ribosomal RNA (2625 nucleotides) under Salmonella enterica subsp. enterica serovar Weltevreden. Its description in RNAcentral is "bacterial LSU rRNA". It matches the Rfam family "Bacterial large subunit ribosomal RNA", at positions 593 to 2925 of the family's 2925-position model. The record is from RNAcentral. Lineage: Bacteria; Pseudomonadati; Pseudomonadota; Gammaproteobacteria; Enterobacterales; Enterobacteriaceae.
GUGACUGCGUACCUUUUGUAUAAUGGGUCAGCGACUUAUAUUCUGUAGCAAGGUUAACCGAAUAGGGGAGCCGGAGGGAAACCGAGUCUUAACCGGGCGUUAAGUUGCAGGGUAUAGACCCGAAACCCGGUGAUCUAGCCAUGGGCAGGUUGAAGGUUGGGUAACACUAACUGGAGGACCGAACCGACUAAUGUUGAAAAAUUAGCGGAUGACCUGUGGCUGGGGGUGAAAGGCCAAUCAAACCGGGAGAUAGCUGGUUCUCCCCGAAAGCUAUUUAGGUAGCGCCUCGUGAAUUCAUCUCCGGGGGUAGAGCACUGUUUCGGCUAGGGGGCCAUCCCGGCUUACCAACCCGAUGCAAACUGCGAAUACCGGAGAAUGUUAUCACGGGAGACACACGGCGGGUGCUAACGUCCGUCGUGAAGAGGGAAACAACCCAGACCGCCAGCUAAGGUCCCAAAGUCAUGGUUAAGUGGGAAACGAUGUGGGAAGGCCCAGACAGCCAGGAUGUUGGCUUAGAAGCAGCCAUCAUUUAAAGAAAGCGUAAUAGCUCACUGGUCGAGUCGGCCUGCGCGGAAGAUGUAACGGGGCUAAACCAUGCACCGAAGCUGCGGCAGCGACGCUUAUGCGUUGUUGGGUAGGGGAGCGUUCUGUAAGCCUGUGAAGGUGGCCUGUGAGGGUUGCUGGAGGUAUCAGAAGUGCGAAUGCUGACAUNACGUAUCACCCAAGACAACUUUACGGAGUUGACGAUUGACGGAGCGAAGCGACGUCAAAGCGUUCAUUAAAGUCGAGUUGGCUUAGGGAUACGUUCGUUGGGUAGGGGAGCGUUCUGUAAGCCUGCGAAGGUGGCCUGUGAGGGUUGCUGGAGGUAUCAGAAGUGCGAAUGCUGACAUAAGUAACGAUAAAGCGGGUGAAAAGCCCGCUCGCCGGAAGACCAAGGGUUCCUGUCCAACGUUAAUCGGGGCAGGGUGNUAAGUAACGAUAAAGCGGGUGAAAAGCCCGCUCGCCGGAAGACCAAGGGUUCCUGUCCAACGUUAAUCGGGGCAGGGUGAGUCGACCCCUAAGGCGAGGCCGAAAGGCGUAGUCGAUGGGAAACGGGUUAAUAUUCCCGUACUUGGUGUUACUGCGAAGGGGGGACGGAGAAGGCUAUGUUGGCCGGGCGACGGUUGUCCCGGUUUAAGCGUGUAGGUGUGUGUUCCAGGUAAAUCCGGUUCACUUUAACACUGAGGCGUGACGACGAGGCACUACGGUGCUGAAGCAACAAAUGCCCUGCUUCCAGGAAAAGCCUCUAAGCAUCAGGUAACAUCAAAUCGUACCCCAAACCGACACAGGUGGUCAGGUAGAGAAUACCAAGGCGCUUGAGAGAACUCGGGUGAAGGAACUAGGCAAAAUGGUGCCGUAACUUCGGGAGAAGGCACGCUGACACGUAGGUGAAGUGAUUUACUCAUGGAGCUGAAGUCAGUCGAAGAUACCAGCUGGCUGCAACUGUUUAUUAAAAACACAGCACUGUGCAAACACGAAAGUGGACGUAUACGGUGUGACGCCUGCCCGGUGCCGGAAGGUUAAUUGAUGGGGUCAGCGCAAGCGAAGCUCCUGAUCGAAGCCCCGGUAAACGGCGGCCGUAACUAUAACGGUCCUAAGGUAGCGAAAUUCCUUGUCGGGUAAGUUCCGACCUGCACGAAUGGCGUAAUGAUGGCCAGGCUGUCUCCACCCGAGACUCAGUGAAAUUGAACUCGCUGUGAAGAUGCAGUGUACCCGCGGCAAGACGGAAAGACCCCGUGAACCUUUACUAUAGCUUGACACUGAACAUUGAGCCUUGAUGUGUAGGAUAGGUGGGAGGCUUUGAAGUGUGGACGCCAGUCUGCAUGGAGCCGACCUUGAAAUACCACCCUUUAAUGUUUGAUGUUCUAACGUGGACCCGUGAUCCGGGUUGCGGACAGUGUCUGGUGGGUAGUUUGACUGGGGCGGUCUCCUCCUAAAGAGUAACGGAGGAGCACGAAGGUUGGCUAAUCCUGGUCGGACAUCAGGAGGUUAGUGCAAUGGCAUAAGCCAGCUUGACUGCGAGCGUGACGGCGCGAGCAGGUGCGAAAGCAGGUCAUAGUGAUCCGGUGGUUCUGAAUGGAAGGGCCAUCGCUCAACGGAUAAAAGGUACUCCGGGGAUAACAGGCUGAUACCGCCCAAGAGUUCAUAUCGACGGCGGUGUUUGGCACCUCGAUGUCGGCUCAUCACAUCCUGGGGCUGAAGUAGGUCCCAAGGGUAUGGCUGUUCGCCAUUUAAAGUGGUACGCGAGCUGGGUUUAGAACGUCGUGAGACAGUUCGGUCCCUAUCUGCCGUGGGCGCUGGAGAACUGAGGGGGGCUGCUCCUAGUACGAGAGGACCGGAGUGGACGCAUCACUGGUGUUCGGGUUGUCAUGCCAAUGGCACUGCCCGGUAGCUAAAUGCGGAAGAGAUAAGUGCUGAAAGCAUCUAAGCACGAAACUUGCCCCGAGAUGAGUUCUCCCUGAGACUUAGAGUCUCCUGAAGGAACGUUGAAGACGACGACGUUGAUAGGCCGGGUGUGUAAGCGCAGCGAUGCGUUGAGCUAACCGGUACUAAUGAACCGUGAGGCUUAACCUUACAACGCCGAAG